RNAcentral lists this small RNA (120 nucleotides) under Marmota monax (woodchuck). Lineage: Eukaryota; Metazoa; Chordata; Mammalia; Rodentia; Sciuridae. The record is from RNAcentral.
GCCAGGCACAGUGGUGCAUGCCUGUAAUCCUAGCAGCUCAGGAGGCUGAGGCAGGAGGAUACAGUUCAAAGCCAGCCUCAGCAAAGCAAGGCAACAACAACUAGUGAAACCCUGUCUCUA